UGCAGAAUCCCGUGAACCAUCGAGUCUUUGAACGCAAGUUGCGCCCGAGGGACCCUCCCGAGGGCACGCCUGCCUCAUGGGCGUUAGAAGCCCAUCCACGCUCGGUUGCCUGAGUAACGGCAGAAGAUGCGGAUACUGGCCCUCCGAGCCGCGAGGCGCGGUGGGCCUAAGUGUGCGGCCGUCGUACGUGGCCGGGAGCGGCGAGUGGUGGGCUACUGCGCACGUCACCCCGAGCCCCGUGCCGACGCAGGGCCUUGUUUGAACCCCUAACGAGGAGCAUGCCGCUGCGGCUUCUGCUGCGCGGCGCCUUCGGACCGAUACCCCAGGUCAGGCGGGGCUACCCGCCGAGUUUAAGCAUAUAAAUAAGCGGAGGAGAAGAAACUUACAAGGAUUCCCCUAGUAACGGCGAGCGAACCGGGAGAUGCCCAGCCUUAGAAUCGAGGCGGCACCGCCGUCCGA
RNAcentral lists this ribosomal RNA (459 nucleotides) under Carex atrata. RNAcentral describes it as "eukaryotic LSU rRNA". The stretch from base 318 to 459 matches the Rfam family "Eukaryotic large subunit ribosomal RNA", at positions 1 to 141 of the family's 3401-position model. The record is from RNAcentral. Lineage: Eukaryota; Viridiplantae; Streptophyta; Magnoliopsida; Poales; Cyperaceae.